Molecule: ribosomal RNA, 232 nt
Filed under: uncultured bacterium
Lineage: Bacteria
Description: partial 16S ribosomal RNA
Rfam family: Bacterial small subunit ribosomal RNA
Source: RNAcentral
CGGACGGGUGAGGAAUGCAUCGGAAUCUGCCUUUUUGUGGGGGAUAACGUAGGGAAACUUGCGCUAAUACCGCAUACGACCUACGGGUGAAAGCCGGGGACCUUCGGGCCUGGCGCAGAGAGAUGAGCCGAUGCCGGAUUAGCUAGUUGGCGGGGUAAAGGCCCACCAAGGCGACGAUCCGUAGCUGGUCUGAGAGGAUGAUCAGCCACACUGGGACUGAGACACGGCCCAG